GAUGAACGCUGACAGAAUGCUUAACACAUGCAAGUCAACUUGAACUUCGGUUUGGGUGGCGGACGGGUGAGUAACGCGUAAAGAACUUGCCUCACAGUUAGGGACAACAUUUGGAAACGAAUGCUAAUACCUGAUAUUAUGAUUUUAGGGCAUCCUAGAAUUAUGAAAGCUAUAUGCGCUGUGAGAGAGCUUUGCGUCCCAUUAGCUAGUUGGAGAGGUAACGGCUCACCAAGGCGAGGAUGGUUAGCCGGCCUGAGAGGGUGAACGGCCACAAGGGGACGGAGACACGGCCCUUACUCAUACGGGAGGGAGGAGUGGGGAAUAUAGGACGAUGGACCAAGAGACUGAUCCAGCAAUUAUGUGUGGACGAUGAAGUUUUUCGGAAUGUAGAGUGCUUUCAGUUGAGGAGAAAAAAAUGACGAUACCAACAGAAGAAGCGACGGCUAAAUACGUG
This 454-nucleotide ribosomal RNA is filed under the name uncultured bacterium. RNAcentral describes it as "partial 16S ribosomal RNA". It matches the Rfam family "Bacterial small subunit ribosomal RNA", at positions 28 to 507 of the family's 1533-position model. The record is from RNAcentral.